CCUACGGGUGGCAGCAGUGAGGAAUAUUGGUCAAUGGGCGCGAGCCUGAACCAGCCAAGUAGCGUGAAGGAUGAAGGCCCUACGGGUGGUAAACUGCGGUUAUAAAGGAAUAAAGUGAGGCACGUGUGCCUUUUUGUAUGUACUUUAUGAAUAAGGAUCGGCUAACUCCGUGCCAGCAGCCGCGGUAAUACGGAGGAUCCGAGCGUUAUCCGGAUUUCUUGGGUUUAAAGGGAGCGUAGAUGGGUUGGUAAGUCAGUUGUGAAAGUUUGCGGCUCAACCGUAAAAUUGCACUUGAUACUGGCAGUCUUGAGUACAGUUGAGGUAGGCGGAAUUCGUGGUGUAGCUGUGAAAUGCUUAGAUAUCACGAAGAACUCCGAUUGCGAAGGCAGCUUACUACACUGCCACUGACAUUGAUGCUCGAAAGUGUGGGUAUCAAACAGGAUUAGCUACCCUUGUAGUC
This 460-nucleotide ribosomal RNA is filed under the name uncultured bacterium. Its description in RNAcentral is "partial 16S ribosomal RNA". It matches the Rfam family "Bacterial small subunit ribosomal RNA", at positions 338 to 795 of the family's 1533-position model. The record is from RNAcentral.